Molecule: ribosomal RNA, 246 nt
Filed under: uncultured bacterium
Lineage: Bacteria
Description: partial 16S ribosomal RNA
Rfam family: Bacterial small subunit ribosomal RNA
Source: RNAcentral
UACGAAGGGGCUAGCGUUGUUCGGAAUUACUGGCGUAAAGCGCGUGUAGGCGGGCUUUAAGUCAGGGUGAAAUGCCAAGGCUCAACCUUGGAACUGCCUUGAUACUGGAAGUCUUGAGUCCGGGAGAGGUGAGUGGAACUGCGAGUGUAGAGGUGAAAUUCGUAGAUAUUCGCAAGAACACCAGUGGCGAAGGCGGCUCACUGGCCCGGAACUGACGCUGAGACGCGAAAGCGUGGGAGCAACAGG